Long non-coding RNA from Esox lucius (northern pike), 1533 nucleotides. The record is from Ensembl. NCBI's taxonomy places the organism in Eukaryota, Metazoa, Chordata, Actinopteri, Esociformes, Esocidae.
GUUAAGCCGCCCAAGUGUUUAUUACUAAAUAACAUAGUGUUUGUUGACAUCAUUUCACUGAACAUCGUACAUAUUACCUGCCAACACACAGCAGAAAACACCCCAUUCCACCUCUUCCAAACGAAACAGAAGUCAAUUAUUGUCCAUGUUGAUAAUUAGUGUCCGUGACGUUAUGUCAAAGCUGCGGAGUCAUUAGCAAUGCAGAUGUGAGAAACACUGUCACUCACAGCUGUGUCCCUGCCCUUUUGUAGAGCCAGUUGGUCAGAGGAAAAACAGUUUCCAAGCUACACUGCAUGGAGGCACAAAGAGAAAUAGAUAAAAACAAUUAUGUCUCCCCCUAGUGGAUAUUCAGUAUAUUUUAGAACACAAAAUGUAGACAGACCUCUGCUGGCUGAGCUGAUAUUAUAGCAAAUGGCAUUUGUGUGGUACUCUUUGGUAGUCCGAUGAGGAAUGAAUGACAGCAAAUAGUCACUUGCGUUAGCAUAGGGCUAACGUUUGCCAGUUUAUCUAGUGGGACAAUUUAGCAUUCUAUCACAUGACAAUGUCAAGCAUUUUCAUUGGCUAAAUCUUGGUUUUUGAAAGCCUCAAGAAGUCCAUUUAAAGGUGCAUUCCGGGACUUUGCAAUAAAAAAAACAUUUAAACUCCCAUUUUGGUCUGGAUGUGUAAUGUUCUUUAAAUGCUUAAUCUAUAAGUCGGAUAACUAUAAUACCACAGACAGCCGUUAAAUUCCAAGUUUGAAAGUGUGGUUCUGAUGACAUGGGCAGAAAUCAGAACAUGCAUGACACAGUGGACCAUGUUCUGGGACACUGCUUGGUUUGACAGUGUCACUUCCACAACCAGUGCCAACAAAUAACUAACUGCAUCUUUCAUUUCAGUUGAAAACAACAACCAUGAAAUCCUUCAUACAGAAAACAAGUAUUGAGUAAAUAAUAGUUAAACAAGGUACAACAGUGGUUGAAUACAUCCCAACGGCCUCAUUCCUGUAACUUAUCUAAACAGACACAAUGUAAAGAGAUUCUUCAUUACGGAAAAUAUGACAAACCCUCCCACUACUGCUGUCUGCAAAUCAGCAGAACAUUAUAAAAUGGUCAAGACCAAGUUUCCUCAGAGUACAGAUCUAGGACCAGAUUUUCCUUUCCUUCAAUGGGGGAAGCUAAAAAACAAAAACCAGAUCAGAAUCCAGAGGCAGCCUGCCCUGAUAGUUUGUGGAGCAUUUAGAUAUAAAGUAUGGAACAAACAUGCCCCUUUGUUGAAUGUAGAGUAAGGAAUGCUGUCAGCUCUGUUUAUAAGUCUAUACGAGAGGAGCAGCUGACUAGCAUCUUGGAGCAAAAGAAAAAGAAGUAACGUGUGUGUGUGUGUGUGUGUGUGUAAACAUAGAGAACCCACAGCUGUCAUCCCAGAACAACCAAAUCAUCAUGAUACAUGUGAUUAAAACAAAGGAGACAUUUAUCCAUUAUUCAUUUACUCUGAAAUUAAUUGGAGUGAUCUCUGGAAUUAGGUUGCAGUUCUGGUCUCCUUGGCACAGCACGUCUG